This 480-nucleotide ribosomal RNA is filed under the name uncultured bacterium. RNAcentral describes it as "partial 16S ribosomal RNA". It matches the Rfam family "Bacterial small subunit ribosomal RNA", at positions 29 to 507 of the family's 1533-position model. The record is from RNAcentral.
AUGAACGCUGGCGGCGUGCUUAACACAUGCAAGUCGAACGAAGCACUUUAUUUGAUUUCCUUCGGGACUGAUUAUUUUGUGACUUAGUGGCGGACGGGUGAGUAACGCGUGGGUAACCUGCCUUGUACAGGGGGAUAACAGUUGGAAACGGCUGCUAAUACCGCAUAAGCGCACGGCAUCGCAUGAUGCAGUGUGAAAAACUCCGGUGGUAUAAGAUGGACCCGCGUUGGAUUAGCUAGUUGGUGAGGUAACGGCCCACCAAGGCGACGAUCCAUAGCCGACAUGAGAGGGUGACCGGACACAUUGGGACUGAGACACGGCACAAACUCCUACGGGAGGCAGCAGUGGGGAAUAUUGCACAAUGGGCGAAAGCAUGAUGCAGCGACGCCGCGUGAGCGAAGAAGUAUUUCGGUAUGUAAAGCUCUAUCAGCAGGGAAGAUAAUGACGGUACCUGACUAAGAAGCACCGGCUAAAUACGUG